GACGAACGCUGGCGGCGUGCUUAACACAUGCAAGUCGAACGGAAAGGCCCUGCUUUUGUGGGGUGCUCGAGUGGCGAACGGGUGAGUAACACGUGAGUAACCUGCCCUUGACUUUGGGAUAACUUCAGGAAACUGGGGCUAAUACCGGAUAGGAGCUCCUGCUGCAUGGUGGGGGUUGGAAAGUUUCGGCGGUUGGGGAUGGACUCGCGGCUUAUCAGCUUGUUGGUGGGGUAGUGGCUUACCAAGGCUUUGACGGGUAGCCGGCCUGAGAGGGUGACCGGCCACAAUGGGACUGAGAUACGGCCCAGACUGCUACGGGAGGCAGCAGUGGGGAAUAUUGCACAAUGGGCGGAAGCCUGAUGCAGCAACGCCGCGUGCGGGAUGACGGCCUUCGAGUUGUAAACCGAUUUCGCCUGUGACGAAGCGUGAGUGACGGUAAUGGGUAAAGAAGCACCGGCUAACUACGUG
Molecule: ribosomal RNA, 468 nt
Filed under: uncultured bacterium
Lineage: Bacteria
Description: partial 16S ribosomal RNA
Rfam family: Bacterial small subunit ribosomal RNA
Source: RNAcentral